CCUCCUCUUCUGACGGGCACGCCUGCAGGCUUUGAUUGGCCAGUGAGUCUUGAGUGACGUGAGCACCUCCCUUAGGUUAGAGUGUGCUGAAGAGACACCGGAUCGAGGGUCUCAACCUAGGUUUCCAGUUCAGGACCAGAACUUUUCGAGAUCUGCAGGGAUUUCAGCAGCACCCUUCAUUGCUGUUAUUCAGGCUCCAUGCUGUGAGACCAGGAAGGCUUUACAGUGGACCACUUCCAGUCCAUGGCAUUCCAUAGGUGGGCAGCACCUGAAGUUCCCCAGCAAGGGCUCGGAUCUCCCACCCACCUCGUGCCCCACGUCCACAGCAGCCUUGGGGGCCCAUCCUUCCCCAGCCCCUGUCCGUCCCCAGGCUCGGAUUCCUGAAAGAGGAGGAGAAGGAAGAGGAGCAGGAAGAGGAGCAGGAAGAGGAGCCCUGUUGGGCAACGGAAACAAAGUUUACAUUCUCCUGUAGCUUUAAAACCACAGCUGGUUAGGAUGAAAGAGUAGAUGCCCUGCAGUUUGGCCCCGGAGCCAGGACAGAGGAAUGCAGGGCCUGUAAGGACCUGACCCCAGAAGGGAAGACUCAUCACAGAGCCUUUGGGAAGGCUAGAAGAGAGGUUGAACUCUUAUUAAAAAUGCUGGCCUGGCCCGCCUGCUAGGGUUAUGACUGAAGAAUGAGCCGCUCAGAAUUGGUCCCCACCUGACCCCUGAUCCAGAGACUAGAGCCAAGCAGGGCAGGAGGGUUGGGUGAAGUCUGUCGCUCAGUGCAUAAGAACGUGUUGACAGUCCAAGCGCACACAGUAGGCACCGAAGGUAUGCAUGCAUGUGUCUUGACUAUGCGUGACAUGACGGCGGCCACGCCCCCACGGAGGACAGAGUCUUUUGGGAGA
Grammomys surdaster is the source of this 890-nucleotide long non-coding RNA. RefSeq lists it as uncharacterized. NCBI's taxonomy places the organism in Eukaryota, Metazoa, Chordata, Mammalia, Rodentia, Muridae. The transcript has 4 exons. The record is from RefSeq and is a predicted model, not a curated record.